This 217-nucleotide ribosomal RNA is filed under the name uncultured bacterium. Its description in RNAcentral is "partial 16S ribosomal RNA". It matches the Rfam family "Bacterial small subunit ribosomal RNA", at positions 122 to 334 of the family's 1533-position model. The record is from RNAcentral.
UAACCUGCCUGGUAGCGGGGGAUAACUAUUGGAAACGAUAGCUAAUACCGCAUAAGAGUAGAUGUUGCAUGACAUUUGCUUAGAAGGUGCAAUUGCAUCACUACCAGAUGGACCUGCGUUGUAUUAGCUAGUUGGUGGGGUAACGGCUCACCAAGGCGACGAUACAUAGCCGACCUGAGAGGGUGAUCGGCCACACUGGGACUGAGACACGGCCCAG